RNAcentral lists this ribosomal RNA (405 nucleotides) under uncultured bacterium. Its description in RNAcentral is "partial 16S ribosomal RNA". It matches the Rfam family "Bacterial small subunit ribosomal RNA", at positions 30 to 526 of the family's 1533-position model. The record is from RNAcentral.
AUUGAACGCUGGCGGCAGGCUUAACACAUGCAAGUAGAACGAGUGGCGGAAGGGUGAGUACUGCUUGGGAAUCUGGCUUAUAGCGGGGGAUAACUAAGGGAAACUGUAGCUAAUACCGCAUACCAUAGAACGAGCCCAAGUGGGAUUAGGUAGUUGGUUAUGGAAAGGCUCACCAAGCCGCAGAUCUCUAGCUGGUCUGAGAGGAUGACCAGCAACGAUGGGACGGAGACACGGCCCAGACUCUGACGGUAGGCAGCAGUGGGGAAUAUUGCUCAAUGGGGGCAACCUGACGCAGCCAUGCCGCGUGAAUGAAGAAGGCCUUCGGGUUGUAAAGUUCUUGCGGUAGCGAGGCGUUAACUACAGAAGAAGCACCGGCUAACUCCGUGCCAGCAGCCGCGGUAAUAC